AGCAAUAUGUGGCAUACGGCUCAGUAACACGUAGUCAACAUGCCCAGGGGACGUGGAUAACCUCGGGAAACUGAGGAUAAACCGCGAUAGGUCAUCACUUCUGGAAUGGGUAAUGACUUAAAUCUACAUGGCCCCUGGAUUGGACUGCGGCCGAUCAGGCUGUUGGUGAGGUAAUGGCCCACCAAACCUGUAACCGGUACGGGCUCUGAGAGGAGGAGCCCGGAGAUGGGCACUGAGACAAGGGCCCAGGCCCUAUGGGGCGCAGCAGGCGCGAAACCUCUGCAAUAGGCGAAAGCUUGACAGGGUUACUCUGAGUGAUUUCCGUUAAGGAGAUCUUUUGGCACCUCUAAAAAUGGUGCAGAAUAAGGGGUGGGCAAGUCUGGUGUCAGCCGCCGCGGUAAUACCAGCACCCCGAGUGGUGUGGAUGUUUAUUGGGCCUAAAGCAUCCGUAGCUGGCUAAGUUAGUCCCUUGUUAAAUCCACCGAAUUAAUCGUUGGAUCGCGGGGGAUACUGCUUGGCUAGGGGACGAGAGAGGCAGACGGUAUUUUCGGGGUAGGGGUGAAAUCCUAUAAUCCCGGGAAGACCACCAGUGGCGAAGGCGUCCGACUAGAACGGAUCCGACGGUAAGGGACGAAACCCUGGGGCGCAAACCGGAUUAGAUACCCGGGUAGUCCAGGGCGUAAACGCUGCAGGCUUGGUGUUGGGGAUCCUACGAGGAUGCUCAGUGCCGGAGUGAAGAUGUUAAGCCUGCCGCUUGGGGAGUACGUCCGCAAGGAUGAAACUUAAAGGAAUUGGCGGGAGA
This 802-nucleotide ribosomal RNA is filed under the name uncultured archaeon. Its description in RNAcentral is "bacterial SSU rRNA". It matches the Rfam family "Archaeal small subunit ribosomal RNA", at positions 70 to 875 of the family's 1478-position model. The record is from RNAcentral.